Molecule: ribosomal RNA, 697 nt
Filed under: Ophiostoma noisomeae
Lineage: Eukaryota; Fungi; Ascomycota; Sordariomycetes; Ophiostomatales; Ophiostomataceae
Description: eukaryotic LSU rRNA
Rfam family: Eukaryotic large subunit ribosomal RNA
Source: RNAcentral
AUUUGGAGAGGAUGCUUCUGGCGCAGCGCCUUCCGAGUUCCUUGGAACAGGACGCCAUAGAGGGUGAGAGCCCCGUACGGUCGGACGCCUAGCCUCUACGAAGCUCCUUCGACGAGUCGAGUAGUUUGGGAAUGCUGCUCAAAAUGGGAGGUAAAUUUCUUCUAAAGCUAAAUACCGGCCAGAGACCGAUAGCGCACAAGUAGAGUGAUCGAAAGAUGAAAAGCACUUUGAAAAGAGGGUUAAACAGUACGUGAAAUUGUUGAAAGGGAAGCGCCUGUGACCAGACUUGCGCCCCGCGGACCACCCGGCGUUCUCGCCGGUGCACUCUGCGGGGCGCAGGCCAGCAUCGGUUCUUCCAGGGGGACAAAGGCCGCGGGAACGUAGCUCCUCCGGGAGUGUUAUAGCCCGCGGCGCCAUGCCCCUGGGGGGACCGAGGACCGCGCUUCGGCAAGGAUGCUGGCGUAAUGGUCACCAGCGACCCGUCUUGAAACACGGACCAAGGAGUCAAGCAUUGGGGCGAGUGUUUGGGUGCCAAACCCGCACGCGAAAUGAAAGUAAACGCAGGUGAGAGCUUCGGCGCAUCAUCGACCGAUCCUGAUGUAUUCGGAUGGAUUUGAGUAAGAGCCUUACCGCUUGGACCCGAAAGAUGGUGAACUAUGCCUGUAUAGGGUGAAGCCAGAGGAAACUCUGGUGGAGG